UUCCGGUUGAUCCUGCCGGACCCCACUGCUAUCGGGAUAGGACUAAGACAUGCUAGUCGUGUGCCUCAGCCAAAACGAGGCACGGCGCACAGCUCAGUAACACGUGGCUAACCUGCCCUUAGGACGAGAAUAACCCCGGGAAACUGGGGCUAAUGCUCGAUAGGUGAAGAACUCUGGAAUGAGUCUUCACUUAAAAGAGUCUGCGUUAUGCUCGUAGAUUUCGCUUAAGGAUGGGGCCGCGACCGAUCAGGUUGUUGGUGAGGUAAUGGCUCACCAAGCCUUUUACCGGUGCGGGCCGUGAGAGCGGGAGCCCGGAGAUGGGCACUGAGACAAGGGCCCAGGCCCUACGGGGCGCAGCAGUCGCGAAAACUUUGCAAUACACGAAAGUGUGACAGGGCUAUCCCGAGUGCCAUCCGCUGAGGAAGGCUUUUACCCAGUCUAGAACGCUGGGGGAAUAAGGAGAGGGCAAGUCUGGUGUCAGCCGCCGCGGUAAUACCAGCUCUCCGAGUGGUGUGGAUGUUUAUUGGGCCUAAAGCAUCCGUAGCUGGCUAAGUUAGUCCCCUGUUAAAUCCAACGAAUUAAUCGUUGGAUCGCGGGGGAUACUGCUUGGCUAGGGGACGAGAGAGGCAGACGGUAUUUCCGGGGUAGGGGUGAAAUCCUAUAAUCCCGGGAAGACCACCAGUGGCGAAGGCUGUCUGCUAGAACGCGCCCGACGGUGAGGGAUGAAAGCUGGGGGAGCGAACCGGAUUAGAUACCCGGGUAGUCCCAGCUGUAAACGAUGCAGCUAGGUGUUUGGACGGCCACGUGCCGUUCUAGUGCCGCAGGGAAGCUGUUAAGCCUGCCGCCUGGGGAGUACGAUCGCAAGAUUGAAACUUAAAGGAAUUGGCGGGGGAGCACACA
This 900-nucleotide ribosomal RNA is filed under the name uncultured archaeon. Its description in RNAcentral is "bacterial SSU rRNA". It matches the Rfam family "Archaeal small subunit ribosomal RNA", at positions 1 to 883 of the family's 1478-position model. The record is from RNAcentral.